UACGUAGGGGGCAAGCGUUGUCCGGAGUUACUGGGCGUAAAGCGCGCGCAGGCGGCGGUGCUGGCCCGGCGUGAAAGCCCCCGGCUCAACCGGGGAGGGUCGUCGGGGACCGCACCGCUUGAGGGCGGUAGGGGCUGGUGGAAUGCCUGGUGUAGUGGUGAAAUGCGUAGAGAUCAGGCGGAACACCCGUGGCGAAGGCGGCCAGCUGGGCCGUCCCUGACGCUGAGGCGCGAAGGCGUGGGGAGCGAACGGG
RNAcentral lists this ribosomal RNA (253 nucleotides) under uncultured bacterium. RNAcentral describes it as "partial 16S ribosomal RNA". It matches the Rfam family "Bacterial small subunit ribosomal RNA", at positions 524 to 776 of the family's 1533-position model. The record is from RNAcentral.